AAGGGAUAUUGCACAAUGGGCGCAAGCCUGAUGCAGCAACGCCGCGUGCACGAGGAAGGCCUUCGGGUCGUAAAGUGCUUUCUGGGAGAAGAGGAAGGACGGUACCCCCAGGAAUAAGUGUCGGCUAACUACGUGCCAGCAGCCGCGGUAAAACGUAGGACGCGAGCGUUAUCCGGAGUUACUGGGACGUAAAGGGCGGGUAGGCGGCUAGUCAAGUUGGAUGUGAAAUCUCCUGGCUAAACUGGGAGGGUGCAUUCGAAACUGAGUAGCUAGAGGACAGCAGAGGGUCGUGGAAUUCCGGGUGGAGUGGUGAAAUGCGUAGAGAUCCGGAGGAACACCAGAGGCGAAAGCGGCGACCUGGGCUGUAACUGACGCUGAACCGCGAAAGCCGAGGGGAGCGAACGGGAUUAACGAAACCCCGGUAGUCCUGGCCGUAAACGAUGCCAACUGGGCGUUGGUGGUGAGAGCCAUCAGCGUCGGAGACAAACGCGGUAAGUUGGCCGCCGUGGGGAGUACGACCGCAAAGGUUA
Molecule: ribosomal RNA, 530 nt
Filed under: uncultured bacterium
Lineage: Bacteria
Description: bacterial SSU rRNA
Rfam family: Bacterial small subunit ribosomal RNA
Source: RNAcentral